CAGUAGCCGCGGGAAUACGUAGGGCGCAAGCGUUAAUCGGAAUUACUGGGCGUAAAGCGUGCGCAGGCGGUUCGGAAAGAAAGAUGUGAAAUCCCAGAGCUUAACUUUGGAACUGCAUUUUUAACUACCGGGCUAGAGUGUGUCAGAGGGGGGUGGAAUUCCACGUGUAGCAGUGAAAUGCGUAGAUAUGUGGAGGAACACCGAUGGCGAAGGCAGCCCCCUGGGAUAACACUGACGCUCAUGCACGAAAGCGUGGGGAGCAAACAGGAUUAGAUACCCCAGUAGUCCCUGUCUCUUAUAC
RNAcentral lists this ribosomal RNA (301 nucleotides) under uncultured bacterium. RNAcentral describes it as "partial 16S ribosomal RNA". It matches the Rfam family "Bacterial small subunit ribosomal RNA", at positions 509 to 807 of the family's 1533-position model. The record is from RNAcentral.